GACGAACGCUGGCGGCGUGCUUAACACAUGCAAGUCGAACGGAAAGGCCCUGCUUUUGUGGGGUGCUCGAGUGGCGAAAGGGUGAGUAACACGUGUGUAACCUGCCCUUGACUUUGGGAUAACGUCAGGAAACUGGGGCUAAUACCGGAUAGUAGCUCCUGCUGCAUGGUGGGGGUUGGAAAGUUUCGGCGGUUGGGGAUGGACUCGCGGCUUAUCAGCUUGUUGGUGGGGUAGUGGGUUACCAAGGCUUUGACGGGUAGCCGGCCUGAGAGGGUGACCGGCCACAUUGGGACUGAGAUACGGCCCAGCCUCCUACGGGAGGCAUGAGUGGGGAAUAUUGCACAAUGGGCGGAAGCCUGAUGCAGCAACGCCGCGUGCGGGAUGACGGCCUUCGGGUUGUAACCCGCUUUCGCCUGUGACGAAGCGUGAGUGACGGUAAUGGGUAAAGAAGCACCGGCUAACUACGUG
Molecule: ribosomal RNA, 468 nt
Filed under: uncultured bacterium
Lineage: Bacteria
Description: partial 16S ribosomal RNA
Rfam family: Bacterial small subunit ribosomal RNA
Source: RNAcentral